CCCCGGUAAACGGCGGCCGUAACUAUAACGGUCCUAAGGUAGCGAAAUUCCUUGUCGGGUAAGUUCCGACCUGCACGAAUGGCGUAAUGAUGGCCAGGCUGUCUCCACCCGAGACUCAGUGAAAUUGAACUCGCUGUGAAGAUGCAGUGUACCCGCGGCAAGACGGAAAGACCCCGUGAACCUUUACUAUAGCUUGACACUGAACAUUGAGCCUUGAUGUGUAGGAUAGGUGGGAGGCUUUGAAGUGUGGACGCCAGUCUGCAUGGAGCCGACCUUGAAAUACCACCCUUUAAUGUUUGAUGUUCUAACGUGGACCCGUAAUCCGGGUUGCGGACAGUGUCUGGUGGGUAGUUUGACUGGGGCGGUCUCCUCCUAAAGAGUAACGGAGGAGCACGAAGGUUGGCUAAUCCUGGUCGGACAUCAGGAGGUUAGUGCAAUGGCAUAAGCCAGCUUGACUGCGAGCGUGACGGCGCGAGCAGGUGCGAAAGCAGGUCAUAGUGAUCCGGUGGUUCUGAAUGGAAGGGCCAUCGCUCAACGGAUAAAAGGUACUCCGGGGAUAACAGGCUGAUACCGCCCAAGAGUUCAUAUCGACGGCGGUGUUUGGCACCUCGAUGUCGGCUCAUCACAUCCUGGGGCUGAAGUAGGUCCCAAGGGUAUGGCUGUUCGCCAUUUAAAGUGGUACGCGAGCUGGGUUUAGAACGUCGUGAGACAGUUCGGUCCCUAUCUGCCGUGGGCGCUGGAGAACUGAGGGGGGCUGCUCCUAGUACGAGAGGACCGGAGUGGACGCAUCACUGGUGUUCGGGUUGUCAUGCCAAUGGCACUGCCCGGUAGCUAAAUGCGGAAGAGAUAAGUGCUGAAAGCAUCUAAGCACGAAACUUGCCCCGAGAUGAGUUCUCCCUGAGACUUUA
Molecule: ribosomal RNA, 908 nt
Filed under: Salmonella enterica subsp. enterica serovar Typhimurium
Lineage: Bacteria; Pseudomonadati; Pseudomonadota; Gammaproteobacteria; Enterobacterales; Enterobacteriaceae
Description: partial 23S ribosomal RNA
Rfam family: Bacterial large subunit ribosomal RNA
Source: RNAcentral